GAUCAUUAUUGAAUAAANCUGAUGGGUUGUUGCUGGNUCUCUAGGGAGCAUGUGCACGCCUUGUCAUCUUUAUAUCUCCACCUGUGCNCNUUUUGUAGACCCUUUC
This 106-nucleotide unclassified non-coding RNA is filed under the name uncultured fungus. Its description in RNAcentral is "sequence contains ITS1". Lineage: Eukaryota; Fungi. The record is from RNAcentral.